This 184-nucleotide non-coding RNA is filed under the name Stanieria cyanosphaera PCC 7437. RNAcentral's name for it is "6S / SsrS RNA". It matches the Rfam family "6S / SsrS RNA". Rfam says of the family: E. coli 6S RNA was the first non coding RNA to be sequenced, but its function was unknown until recently. Lineage: Bacteria; Bacillati; Cyanobacteriota; Cyanophyceae; Pleurocapsales; Dermocarpellaceae. The record is from Rfam by way of RNAcentral.
GUUACACUGCUACGUUGGUGACUGCCAAUAUAGUUUGUUGAUCUAUGUUUGACUUAUGAGGGAGCUUACAGAUUGACAGCAGAAGUAGACCGAGCUUGUACUCGGAAAUGGAUGCAGACAGCGUGAGUACCCACCUGGUUUUCCCAGGUCAUAAGCUGAGGUAAGACGGCGUAGCGGUUAACUA